UCGUACUUGACUAUCCAAGUGAAUACAUCACCGCAGUCGAUGGCACUUAUGAUAAAAUCUUUGGGAGUGAUGGCUCAGUCAUAACUAUGCUCAGGUUCAAGACUAAUAAGCAAACGUCUCCUCCCUUUGGACUUGAAGCUGGCACAGUCUUCGAACUCAAAGAGGAAGGCCACAAGAUCGUUGGUUUCCAUGGAAGAGCCGAUGUUCUGCUCCACA
RNAcentral lists this small RNA (216 nucleotides) under Arabidopsis thaliana (thale cress). RNAcentral's name for it is "ATSL139950". The record is from RNAcentral. Lineage: Eukaryota; Viridiplantae; Streptophyta; Magnoliopsida; Brassicales; Brassicaceae.